GCAAACAUGUCAUUAAUCUAACUCACUAAAAUCAAUGUCCAAAUAUGUUGGUGCGAAUCAGUGUCUCCUCCUUCUUCUUCUCCAAAACCAAUCCAUACCAAGGUACUACUAACUUCUUCUUCACAGUGCUGCAUUCUUUUAUGUGCUUCCUUUUCCUUCAAUUUUCUUCAUAUUUUCAGUGUCCCAAUUUCAUGUCUCUACGAGGAACAACGCACCCAAAAACAUUUCACAACUUCAACUAAACAAGCACAUAGACCAGUUUCAAGACAAAAAAGUGAGACUUUCAUUGUUGUUUUGUCUCUUACCUAUGCAAUUUCAAUUUUCAAACAAAAAUUUUUGAAUAAAAUUUCACUUGCAAUAUAAUUUAUGUUAAUAAUUUUACUACACAGAAGUUUGGUUUGAGUUUGACUAAGAUUGAAGGAUCUGCAUACACAAAAACAGUUGAAUUGGGUCAAUUCAGUAAGUGCUUCUUGUAUGCAAUUUAUAGUUUUGGCCUUUUCAGUUGAUUCUAUUUUAUCAAAGCAUCUUUAGUUUAGGGAGCUUAUAGUAUGUUUGUCUUUAGAUUGGUUUGUGUCCUUAAUGUGAUUAUAAAAUGUACUUUCAACAGCAUUAGCUAUUGGUUUAUCGAGCCAAACUAAGGAGCGUGUUUUUCGUGGUAACUACAUAUACCUUCUCAUGUUUAUUGUCAUGAAAAACAUGUUGAGAUUUGUUUUCUUUUGUUCGUAGUUUGAGAAGCUUCAUUCUAAGAUUAUGAAAAACAUGACUGUAUGAAGUAGUUUCGGUCCAUGUAAUGUUUGGCAGUUGCUCAUACAAGUGUAAUC
This 821-nucleotide long non-coding RNA is filed under the name Trifolium pratense (red clover). RNAcentral describes it as "long non-coding RNA (TPRA_LNC009602)". Lineage: Eukaryota; Viridiplantae; Streptophyta; Magnoliopsida; Fabales; Fabaceae. The record is from RNAcentral.